This is a small nuclear RNA of Ursus americanus (American black bear), 104 nucleotides long. NCBI's taxonomy places the organism in Eukaryota, Metazoa, Chordata, Mammalia, Carnivora, Ursidae. The record is from Ensembl.
GUGCUUGCUUCAGGAACAUAUAUAUAAAAACGGAACAAUACGAUUGAUUAGCAUGGCCCAUGCACAAGGAUAAUAUUCAAAUUUGUGAAGCAUUCCAUAUUUGU